Molecule: unclassified non-coding RNA, 343 nt
Filed under: soil metagenome
Description: partial contains 5.8S ribosomal RNA, internal transcribed spacer 2, and large subunit ribosomal RNA
Rfam family: 5.8S ribosomal RNA (bases 1-120)
Source: RNAcentral
GAUGAAGAACGCAGCGAAAUGCGAUAAGUAAUGUGAAUUGCAGAAUUCAGUGAAUCAUCGAAUCUUUGAACGCACAUUGCGCCCGCUAGUAUUCUGGCGGGCAUGCCGGUCCGAGCGUCAUUUCAACCCUCAAGCCCCCGGGCUUGGUGUUGGGGAUCGGCGAGCCUCCGCGCCCGCCGUCCCCUAAAUCUAGUGGCGGUCUCGCUGUAGCUUCCUCUGCGUAGUAGCACACCUCGCACUGGGAAACAGCGCGGCCACGCCGUUAAACCCCCAACUUCUGAACGUUUGACCUCGGAUCAGGUAGGAAUACCCGCUGAACUUAAGCAUAUCAAUAAGCGGAGGA